This 1466-nucleotide ribosomal RNA is filed under the name uncultured bacterium. RNAcentral describes it as "bacterial SSU rRNA". It matches the Rfam family "Bacterial small subunit ribosomal RNA". The record is from RNAcentral.
AUUGAACGCUGGCGGCAGGCCUAACACAUGCAAGUCGAACGGUAACAGGAAACAGCUUGCUGUUUCGCUGACGAGUGGCGGACGGGUGAGUAAUGUCUGGGAAACUGCCUGAUGGAGGGGGAUAACUACUGGAAACGGUAGCUAAUACCGCAUAACGUCGCAAGACCAAAGAGGGGGACCUUCGGGCCUCUUGCCAUCGGAUGUGCCCAGAUGGGAUUAGCUUGUUGGUGGGGUAACGGCUCACCAAGGCGACGAUCCCUAGCUGGUCUGAGAGGAUGACCAGCCACACUGGAACUGAGACACGGUCCAGACUCCUACGGGAGGCAGCAGUGGGGAAUAUUGCACAAUGGGCGCAAACCUGAUGCAGCCAUGCCGCGUGUAUGAAGAAGGCCUUCGGGUUGUAAAGUACUUUCAGCGGGGAGGAAGGGAGUAAAGUUAAUACCUUUGCUCAUUGACGUUACCCGCAGAAGAAGCACCGGCUAACUCCGUGCCAGCAGCCGCGGUAAUACGGAGGGUGCUAAGCGUUAAUCGGAAUUACUGGGCGUAAAGCGCACGCAGGCGGUUUGUUAAGUCAGAUGUGAAAUCCCCGGGCUCAACCUGGGAACUGCAUCUGAUACUGGCAAGCUUGAGUCUCGUAGAGGGGGGUAGAACUCCAGGUGUAGCGGUGAAAUGCGUAGAGAUCUGGAGGAAUACCGGUGGCGAAGGCGGCCUCCUGGACGAAGACUGACGCUCAGGUGCGAAAGCGUGGGGAGCAAACAGGAUUAGAUACCCUGGUAGUCCACGCCGUAAACGAUGUCGACUUGGAGGUUGUGCCCUUGAGGCGUGGCUUCCGGAGCUAACGCGUUAAGUCGACCGCCUGGGGAGUACGGCCGCAAGGUUAAAACUCAAAUGAAUUGACGGGGGCCCGCACAAGCGGUGGAGCAUGUGGUUUAAUUUCGAUGCAACGCGAAGAACCUUACCUGGUCUUGACAUCCACGGAAGUUUUCAGAGAUGAGAAUGUGCCUUCGGGAACCGUGAGACAGGUGCUGCAUGGCUGUCGUCAGCUCGUGUUGUGAAAUGUUGGGUUAAGUCCCGCAACGAGCGCAACCCUUAUCCUUUGUUGCCAGCGGUCCGGCCGGGAACUCAAAGGAGACUGCCAGUGAUAAACUGGAGGAAGGUGGGGAUGACGUCAAGUCAUCAUGGCCCUUACGACCAGGGCUACACACGUGCUACAAUGGCGCAUACAAAGAGAAGCGACCUCGCGAGAGCAAGCGGACCUCAUAAAGUGCGUCGUAGUCCGGAUUGGAGUCUGCAACUCGACUCCAUGAAGUCGGAAUCGCUAGUAAUCGUGGAUCAGAAUGCCACGGUGAAUACGUUCCCGGGCCUUGUACACACCGCCCGUCACACCAUGGGAGUGGGUUGCAAAAGAAGUAGGUAGCUUAACCUUCGGGAGGGCGCUUACCACUUUGUGAUUCAUGACUGGGGUG